Molecule: long non-coding RNA, 730 nt
Organism: Pygocentrus nattereri (red-bellied piranha)
Lineage: Eukaryota; Metazoa; Chordata; Actinopteri; Characiformes; Serrasalmidae
Exons: 3
Source: RefSeq, a predicted model, not a curated record
CGUCCUUAUGAAGUUGAUGAUAUUUUUGCAUUUAUUAAAAAAAAGGCGAGUUAAAUCUGCCAGAAGGAACGUUUGCUGUCCAAGAGGCUGAAACGAGCUAUUUUUGGAUGAUAAAAUGAUAAAUAAUAAAUAAGAAAGGAUAAGCAUAAGAAAAAAUGCAUUGUUUUUUGCAAUUUCCCUCCAUUCAUUUCAGGAGGGUGAGCAAUGCCUUAGCGCAAAAUGCAGUGCUUUUAAUUCCAAAGCAUAUUCACCAUGGAAGAGCCAACCUAAGGCUCAUUUUGCAUUACAGUGCAGUACAAGCCUCCAGGACCGUUUCAGUCCUGGGUGGGCAUAUCAGGAGGACAAGAGGGCUGAACUGGGUUGAACAAUGUGACUCCACAGUGGAAUAACAUCCUGUGUCCAGGUUGUGAGAGUGGCCCCAAUCUCUGGCUGUCUCUCUGUCUUCAGACUCGGGAUCCUCCCGCUCCCUUUCCAGCUGGAAAAACAAACACCGUCUGUGGGAGUGAAGGGACCCAGCGCUGUAAAAAAAAAAAACUGCAGCGCCACUUUCGCCGGCUUUCAAAGCGAAUAAAAAAAGGAAAAGGGCCUGUGUAAAUGUCAUUAGUUAUCUUUAUCACCAAAUGUGUUUGGCGACUUGAAAGCAUCGUCAGAGGAUUGGCACAGGCAGCUUCUCCACAGCUAAACUGGAUAACGACACUGUGAGUGAAUAAAAGAAAUAAGCAGGCAGUAA